Molecule: long non-coding RNA, 1793 nt
Organism: Physeter macrocephalus (sperm whale)
Lineage: Eukaryota; Metazoa; Chordata; Mammalia; Artiodactyla; Physeteridae
Exons: 7
Source: RefSeq, a predicted model, not a curated record
AAAAUUAAUAAAAAUAGACGUAUUGCAGGAGCGAGUUACAAGAAAGGAUUUCAUCGAUUUUCUUAAAUGGAAAAGUUUUAAAGGAUGAGGUAACGCUGAGCCAAGAAGCAGGAGAUUAAAUUUACCUAGUUUAAAAUUAGAGGAUACAAGAAGAAAAGAUUUUGAGUUAAUUUUCGCACGGCUGAGAAAUAACACGCAGAAUCUUCCUGGCAAUGACUAAAUCCUGAAGUCUCACCAUCCAAUUAGGCACCCGUCAUCCUGACCAGGGGUCAGACAGAGGAAGAGGAAAAAGGUGGCUUGCUUUGUGUCAGUGCUGGGAGCUAGCCCGUAACAACUCCUCUUCAAUGCUUAGAAGCCCACACUGCUGUCUCCCACAGCACCUGGAAAAAGUGUGAUGAAGGAAGAGGAACUGGAAAGAUGAGGCAAAUGAGGCAAACAGACAUUAAGAAAACGUGGCCAGUGCCUUCUUGUUGUGACGUGGCUGAGGCAGAAUUCAGAGCCAGGCCUUCAGCGUGCAGCCACCACCUGCCCUGUGCAGUCGGGCCAAAGAAGCACGGGAGUUACAUGCAGCUGAUACCUUGUUUCAGCCCUUUCGAGAAGCAAGUAAAAGUCCAAAACAUCCUUGAGAGUCCCAUGUGAGUGGGCAGCCCUCCUCCGUCUUAUGGCUGUGCCAUCUGUGUACACGGCCUCCAGGGAUAGAAGAAGCACCGAACUUCCUUGACCCGCCUGAGACAUGGAUCCCUUGGCUCCCCAUGGGAUCCAGGAGCCGGAUUCCAGGAGCACUCUUUACGCCCAACAGCAAGUCACUCAUUAAGGAAGAUGUUCACCCUGAGGACAGGCUCUCAUGUGCACCUUGCAGUACAUCCACGUUUCCUUAACCGUUCCCUUCCGCUGAAACAAAAACACAUCAAAAUGCAAUUAGGUGAGACAGCUGAAAAGCAACUGUGGCAGCAGAAUUCCAAGAUGGCCCCAAGUCUCCUGCCCUCAGUGUACGUGCCUUGUAUAAUCCCCUCCCCCGAGUGUGGGUGGGGCUGUGAAUAUCAUGGGAUAUUACUCCCAUCAUUAUGUUAUGUUAUAUGGCAAAAGAGAUGUUGCAGAUGUAGUUAAGGCCCCAUAUCAGUUGAUUUUGACUGAAUCAAAAGGGAAACGAUCCUGGCUGGGAGUGAGCUAGUCUGGUGAGGCCUUGCAAGAGAGGAGUGGCAGCCCUAUUCUCCUGGCCUUGAAGAAGGAAGCUACCCUGUUGGGAGAGGAGGGAGCCAUGUGGCCAGGACCUGAGGGUGGUCUCUAGGAGCUAAGAACUAAGAGCCAUCCCUGGCUGACAGUUGGCAAGAAACCAGGGGCCUCAGGAGUUCAGCUGCAAGAAAUGAAGUCUGCCAACCACCAGUGAGCUGGGAAGAGGGCUCUACACCUCUGAGGAGAUAGCAGCCCUGGCUUACACCUUGAUUGCAGCCUGGUGAUGUACUGAGCAAAGGACCCAGCUAACCCAUGCCCGGACUCCUGACACCUGGGCAUUAAGAAAGAAUAAAUUUGUGUUGGUUUAAGUCACUAAGUUUGUGGUCAUUCAUUACACUGUAAUAGAAAACUAAACAGCAACGUCAACAACUGCCAAAAGAAUCUAUGGAAUAAAAUCAAGAAAAAGUGAAGAUGAGCAAGUGUUUUCAAAAGAAGAAAAAGAUUCUUCAACUAGAAGUCAGAAUUGCAGUUAGCUUUGUGGAGAGAUACUGGGAAGGGCAGGAGAAAACCUUCUGGAGUGCUGGCGGUUGUCUACACCUUGCUGUGGUCACUUGAUCUGG